Molecule: ribosomal RNA, 1346 nt
Filed under: uncultured bacterium
Lineage: Bacteria
Description: partial 16S ribosomal RNA
Rfam family: Bacterial small subunit ribosomal RNA
Source: RNAcentral
GACGAACGCUGGCGGCGUGCUUAACACAUGCAAGUCGAACGGAAAGGCCCUGCUUUUGUGGGGUGCUCGAGUGGCGAACGGGUGAGUAACACGUGAGUAACCUGCCCUUGACUUUGGGAUAACUUCAGGAAACUGGGGCUAAUACCGGAUAGGAGCUCCUGCUGCAUGGUGGGGGUUGGAAAGUUUCGGCGGUUGGGGAUGGACUCGCGGCUUAUCAGCUUGUUGGUGGGGUAGUGGCUUACCAAGGCUUUGACGGGUAGCCGGCCUGAGAGGGUGGCCGGCCACAUUGGGACUGAGACACGGCCCAGACUCCUACGGGAGGCAGCAGUGGGGAAUAUUGCACAAUGGGCGGAAGCCUGAUGCAGCAACGCCGCGUGCGGGAUGACGGCCUUCGGGUUGUAAACCGCUUUCGCCUGUGACGAAGCGUGAGUGACGGUAAUGGGUAAAGAAGCACCGGCUAACUACGUGCCUGCAGCCGCGGUGAUACGUAGGGUGCGAGCGUUGUCCGGAUUUAUUGGGCGUAAAGGGCUCGUAGGUGGUUGAUCGCGUCGGAAGUGUAAUCUUGGGGCUUAACCCUGAGCGUGCUUUCGAUACGGGUUGACUUGAGGAAGGUAGGGGAGAAUGGAAUUCCUGGUGGAGCGGUGGAAUGCGCAGAUAUCAGGAGGAACACCAGUGGCGAAGGCGGUUCUCUGGGCCUUUCCUGACGCUGAGGAGCGAAAGCGUGGGGAGCGAACAGGCUUAGAUACCCUGGUAGUCCACGCUGUAAACGGUGGGUACUAGGUGUGGGGUCCAUUCCACGGGUUCCGUGCCGUAGCUAACGCUUUAAGUACCCCGCCUGGGGAGUACGGCCGCAAGGCUAAAACUCAAAGGAAUUGACGGGGCCCCGCACAAGCGGCGGAGCAUGCGGAUUAAUUCGAUGCAACGCGUAGAACCUUACCUGGGUUUGACAUGGAUCGGGAGUGCUCAGAGAUGGGUGUGCCUCUUUUGGGGUCGGUUCACAGGUGGUGCAUGGCUGUCGUCAGCUCGUGUCGUGAGAUGUUGGGUUAAGUCCCGCAACGAGCGCAACCCUUGUUCACUGUUGCCAGCACGUUAUGGUGGGGACUCAGUGGAGACCGCCGGGGUCAACUCGGAGGAAGGUGGGGAUGACGUCAAGUCAUCAUGCCCCUUAUGUCCAGGGCUUCACGCAUGCUACAAUGGCUGGUACAGAGAGUGGCGAGCCUGUGAGGGUGAGCGAAUCUCGGAAAGCCGGUCUCAGUUCGGAUUGGGGUCUGCAACUCGACCUCAUGAAGUCGGAGUCGCUAGUAAUCGCAGAUCAGCAACGCUGCGGUGAAUACGUUCCCGGGGCU